Molecule: ribosomal RNA, 803 nt
Filed under: uncultured bacterium
Lineage: Bacteria
Description: bacterial SSU rRNA
Rfam family: Bacterial small subunit ribosomal RNA
Source: RNAcentral
CCUUAGAGUUUGAUCCUGGCUCAAGAGGACCCCUGGCGGCGUGCUUAACACAUGCAAGUCGAACGGGAAACAUUUUAUUGAAGCUUCGGCAGAUUUAGUUUGUUUCUAGUGGCGGACGGGUGAGUAACGCGUGGGUAACCUGCCUCACACUGGGGGAUAACAGUCAGAAAUGACUGCUAAUACCGCAUAAGCGCACGGGAUUGCAUGAUCCAGUGUGAAAAACUCCGGUGGUGUGAGAUGGACCCGCGUUGGAUUAGCCAGUUGGCAGGGUAACGGCCUACCAAAGCGACGAUCCAUAGCCGGCCUGAGAGGGUGAACGGCCACAUUGGGACUGAGACACGGCCCAGACUCCUACGGGAGGCAGCAGUGGGGAAUAUUGCACAAUGGGGGAAACCCUGAUGCAGCGACGCCGCGUGAAGGAAGAAGUAUCUCGGUAUGUAAACUUCUAUCAGCAGGGAAGAAAAUGACGGUACCUGACUAAGAAGCCCCGGCUAACUACGUGCCAGCAGCCGCGGUAAUACGUAGGGGGCAAGCGUUAUCCGGAUUUACUGGGUGUAAAGGGAGCGUAGACGGAGCAGCAAGUCUGAUGUGAAAGGCGGGGGCUCAACCCCUGGACUGCAUUGGAAACUGUUGAUCUUGAGUACCGGAGAGGUAAGCGGAAUUCCUAGUGUAGCGGUGAAAUGCGUAGAUAUUAGGAGGAACACCAGUGGCGAAGGCGGCUUACUGGACGGUAACUGACGUUGAGGCUCGAAAGCGUGGGGAGCAAACAAGAUUAGAUACCCUGGUAGUCCACGCCGUAAACG